GCCAGGCAUGGUGGCGCUUGCCUGUAAUCCCAGCUACCGGGGAGGCUGAGGUGGGAGGAUUGCUUGAGCCCAGGAGGUGGAGGUUGCAGUGAGCUGAGACUGUGCCACUGCACUCCAGCCUGGGUGACAGAGCAAGACUCCAUCUCAA
Molecule: non-coding RNA, 148 nt
Organism: Pan troglodytes (chimpanzee)
Lineage: Eukaryota; Metazoa; Chordata; Mammalia; Primates; Hominidae
Rfam family: Metazoan signal recognition particle RNA
About the family: The signal recognition particle (SRP) is a universally conserved ribonucleoprotein. It is involved in the co-translational targeting of proteins to membranes.
Source: Rfam